Long non-coding RNA from Centrocercus urophasianus (Greater sage-grouse), 1201 nucleotides. RefSeq lists it as uncharacterized. Lineage: Eukaryota; Metazoa; Chordata; Aves; Galliformes; Phasianidae. The record is from RefSeq and is a predicted model, not a curated record. The transcript is spliced from 4 exons.
UUUCAACAGCAUGCACCUAAAGCCCAGAGCUCAGCUCCUAGGCUGGAUGUUAAAUUUGAAACAGGAGUCACUGAAGGACACCUGGAGUCAUCCAUAUCAAAUGAAAACCAAAGAUGUGCCUGAAUUCCCACUGCUCUCUGCAGUUCAGGCAUUUGAACUGCAAGGAUUCAGCAUGGGAGAUGGAUCCCAGAGACUACAGCCAAAGAGAAUCACAGUGGUGAUGGGUCAAUGGUUGGACCAGAUGAUCUUAGUGGUCCAACCUUAAUGAUUCUGUGAUUCAGGAGUGUGCACUGAGCCCUGAUCUCAUGGGCUGGAAUGGAACAUAGGGAAGACCUACAUUCAUGGAGCAAGGAAGUGCAUGGGAACAUGAUUCUUAACAGAAUGGAUUGCAUUAUACUGUGAAGGCCAUGUCUACAUAUGAGCUACUCUCAACCUCUUUUCUGUGAUUACUGGAAACCUUAUCACUGCAACAGAAACUGAUGUAGAUGGAAAGGUGGAAAAAGAAGAACAGAAACGAUGUUGAAGACCUUAACAACACUCAGCUGACUGGUCUGAAUAUUCUGAAUCUCAUGUUACUACAUGCUAACCAACUCAACAUUAAAUGCAUUUGUCUUCUGCCUGAGAUCCUUUUCUGUAGUUCUAAGCAUCCAGUCAGAAAGAAUAUGGAAUGCUGAACAUUAACAUUCAAUAAGUGCAGUUCCCUGAAGGAUGGUGACAUAAAACAAAUUGGGCUACUUAGAAACUGCACUCCCUGUGGAUCACACAGUAGCAGAGAAUGACUAAGCAUUACAGCUUCCUGGAACACAACUGGAGAUGCAGUUGCCAUUGCAAAUGGAAGAGGAACAUUGUGUUGGUAACAUCUGCUUACCUGUUCUGGAAAUUGUUCAAGAUGGGUGAAUGCCUACAUUAUGAGAUACUGGGGGAUACUAAAAUAUUAGAAAAGCUUUAGAUAUGAUCUUGGGAAAUACUUUGAUAGAAGUCUAUGGGGUAAAAUCUGAGUGAAUCCAUUUUUAAACUACAGCUAAUAAAAAUGAAGAAAACAGAAAAACCUGUACCUAGGUAAUAGAUUGAGUCAAGAAAUGGGAGUCAGUGAAGUCACCUGACCCACUAAUCAAGUCAGCAUUUUCAUAGAAAAAUUGAUAGUAUAAUGAUUGGAGAAAAUCUAUUAUCAUGACAAUAAGCUAAUCUAUCAAAAUCCAGA